Molecule: ribosomal RNA, 253 nt
Filed under: uncultured bacterium
Lineage: Bacteria
Description: partial 16S ribosomal RNA
Rfam family: Bacterial small subunit ribosomal RNA
Source: RNAcentral
UACGUAGGCAGCAAGCGUUGUUCGGAGUUACUGGGCGUAAAGGGUGCGUAGGCGGCUUUUUAAGUUUGGUGUGAAAUCUCCCGGCUCAACUGGGAGGGUGCGCCGAAUACUGAGAGGCUAGGGUGUGGGAGAGGAAAGUGGAAUUCCUGGUGUAGCGGUGAAAUGCGUAGAUAUCAGGAGGAACACCGGUGGUGUAAACGGCUUUCUGGACCAUAACUGACGCUGAGGCACGAAAGCGUGGGUAGCAAACAGG